This 711-nucleotide long non-coding RNA is filed under the name Crocodylus porosus (Australian saltwater crocodile). RNAcentral describes it as "lncRNA (ENSCPRG00005002098.1)". The record is from RNAcentral. Lineage: Eukaryota; Metazoa; Chordata; Crocodylia; Crocodylidae.
AUGUAUUAUCAACUUUUGGCCAAGAUCAAAGAUCCUGGCAUACCCUUAAAUGUACCAGAACAAGAGGAACCUACAAUAAGAAACUGGAAUUAUAAAAUAAUUUCUGAACUCAACUGUAACUAUGGUAACCUUCAUUCACUGACAGGACCGCCCAGCUUCUUCACAGCUGGAAGCCACAUACCACAGCCUCUGCAUACCUACCCAGCUGCAAGUUCCAGGGGUACCACAUGGGCAUGUGGCUCCUCUACCACAACUGCUACGUGCAUGCAAGUAGGUGGCCCCACCUUCACACUUCCUUGUCUGUGGGCUCACCCUCUGUACCCCACCAUGGGCUUGCUGUGCCUAGAGAGAGAAGGGGUGGGAAGCCUAGGAAAGCACCAGCCAGACCAAUGUGUGAAGUGGUGGCCAGGGAAAGCCCAGGGACUGCAGAUUAACCCCUCAUGCUUCUAUGAGGUCUGGAAAUCACCAUUUGGAUGGUUCUGGUUUAGAAAAUAAUCCGGCAAGUUUAUAAAGCAGCAUUUUUAUUUUUGGUGGAUUGACUUUGCUGAUGAGAAUGUCUUCACUGCUCCUACUAUCAGCUGACUGCCCAGAAAAAUCACUAGCUGAGGCAGGAUAAGGCAAAAGAAGAAGACAGUUAUAACAAAGCAUCCUUACUAAUUACAGUUCCUGUUCAGCUCUGUGGGCUGGUCAUAGACAGCAACAGAAACCCCC